Cucurbita maxima (winter squash) is the source of this 115-nucleotide long non-coding RNA. RefSeq lists it as uncharacterized. The transcript has 3 exons. NCBI's taxonomy places the organism in Eukaryota, Viridiplantae, Streptophyta, Magnoliopsida, Cucurbitales, Cucurbitaceae. The record is from RefSeq and is a predicted model, not a curated record.
UAUAGUAUACUUUGUUCGAGGGGAGGAUUAUUUGAAGGGAGUCUCACAUUGGCUAAUUUAAGGAUGAUCAUGGAUUUAUAAGUAAGGAAAUACAUCUCCAUUGGUAUGAGGCCUU